This 474-nucleotide ribosomal RNA is filed under the name uncultured bacterium. RNAcentral describes it as "partial 16S ribosomal RNA". It matches the Rfam family "Bacterial small subunit ribosomal RNA", at positions 28 to 507 of the family's 1533-position model. The record is from RNAcentral.
GACGAACGCUGGCGGCGUGCUUAACACAUGCAAGUCGAGCGGUAAGGCUCCUUCGGGAGUACACGAGCGGCGCACGGGGGAGUAACACGUGAGUAAUCUGCCCUUCACUUCGGGAUAACCACCGGAAACGGUGGCUAAUACCGAAUACGACCAGUCUUCGCAUGAGGUGCGGGUGGAAAGUCUUUUCGGUGAAGGAUGUGCUCGCGGCCUAUCAGCUUGUUGGUGGGGUAAUGGCCUACCAAGGCUUCGACGGGUAGCCGGCCUGAGAGGGUGACCGGCCACACUGGGACUGAGACACGGCCCAGACUCCUACGGGAGGCAGCAGUGGGGAAUGUUGGACAAUGGGCGAAAGCCUGCUCCAGCAACGCCGCGUGAGGGAUGACGGCCUUCGGGUUGUAAACCUCUUUCAGUACCGACGAAGCGCCCUGUCGGGUGGUGACGGUAGGUACAGAAGAAGGACCGGCCAACUACGUG